Molecule: ribosomal RNA, 109 nt
Filed under: Chinchilla lanigera (long-tailed chinchilla)
Lineage: Eukaryota; Metazoa; Chordata; Mammalia; Rodentia; Chinchillidae
Source: RNAcentral
GACAACGACCGUACCAUCCUGAACGCGCCUGAUCUCUUCUGAUCUCAUAAGCUAAGCAGGGUCGGACCUGGUUAGUACUUGGAUGGGAGAACUUUUGAUGUUUUGGUUC